This 46-nucleotide non-coding RNA is filed under the name Trichobilharzia regenti. Lineage: Eukaryota; Metazoa; Platyhelminthes; Trematoda; Strigeidida; Schistosomatidae. The record is from RNAcentral.
AUAUUGCUGAAGAGUCUCAAACUAGGACGAAACAGUUGUCCAGUAC